AUGACAGAGCAAGACCCAGUCUCAAAAAAACAAAAACAAUAAUGACAUCAGGCUGUACAUACAUAAUUUAGAAAAGAAUGUUUUGUAACCUGCUUUUUUCACUAAAAACACAUCAUAUUUCUAGUUCAUUACCCAUUUUUAGUUGCUGCUUUUGGUUUGGAUAGACAAUAAUUUAUAGGUUUUCAAUUUUAAAUAUUAAAAAGAACACUGUGAUAAACAUUCUUGUGUCUAAAAUCUUUGCAUCUAUCAGUAAUUACUUAAAUAGACUGAGUUGAGCUGGGAUUACUAUGGCAAAGAAUGGGCAAAAAUCUAUUGCUCUUGAAACCUACCAUAAAAUCCCAUUUGGAAUGCUUGUAACAAGUCAUAUUCCUUUCUUGACAUCCUCAUUAUCAAGUAUUAUUAAAAGUAUUUUUCUGCCAAUUUAAGAGGUGAAAUGGUGUCUCCUUUUAAUUUGGAUUUGAUUCCUAGUGGUUGAGUUUGUUUCACAUUCUUAUUUCAGCUCAUCUUCUAGAAGUCAUCUAUAGCUACUGUCAGUUUCUAGGCUUCCAAGGACACCCUUCAGCCUACUGCAAUGCAGCUUCUUACCCUACUCCUCCAUGGACAGAUGACAUCCAUUUCUGAAAUCCAGGGGCCACACUUCAAUCUAUCUCAUGAGGUAUCUCUGCUUGGUGGACACCGAUGUUCUCCCUUCCUGAAGACUCUGCUUCUCUGACUUCUGUGAGCAUAGCCUCUUCUGGUCACUCGUUCUCUGGCAUAGACUUCUUCUCUGUGGGCUGGCAGCGAACAGUGGGGCCUUCAGCAUCAUUAUUGCUCAGAUCUCUUUAAUGUUUGGCUUAAAUGAAGACAGCUGGAUUCUCUUCUUCUGCAUUCAAUCUGUUAGGAUGUGCUGUUUGCUGAAAGCAUGAAAAUCCUAGCACCUCACCUCACCUCUUGGGGACCUUGGACCGCACUUUGAGAACCAUUAGUUUUUCUUUCAGCUCUACAUCAUUCACAGCCGGGCCUGGUGGCUCAUGGCUGUAAUCCCAGGACUUUGGGAGGCUGAGGUGGGUGGAUCACCUGAGGCCAGCAGUUUGAGACCAGCCUGGGCAACAUGGUGAAACCCCGUCUCUACUAAAUAUACAAAAAUUAGCCAGGCGUCAUGGCACCCUCCUGUAGUCCCAGCUACUCAGGAGGCUGAGGCAGGAGAAUCACUUGAACCCGGGAGGCAGAGGUUGCAGUGAGCCGAGAUCGCACCACUGCACUCCUGCCUGUGCGACAGAGAGAGGCUCUGUCUCAAAAAAUAAAUAAAUAAAUAAAUAAAUAAA
This 1304-nucleotide long non-coding RNA is filed under the name Homo sapiens (human). RNAcentral describes it as "HSALNT0303923". Lineage: Eukaryota; Metazoa; Chordata; Mammalia; Primates; Hominidae. The record is from RNAcentral.